Molecule: ribosomal RNA, 121 nt
Filed under: Octodon degus (degu)
Lineage: Eukaryota; Metazoa; Chordata; Mammalia; Rodentia; Octodontidae
Source: RNAcentral
GUCUACGACCAUACCACCAUGAAUGCGCCCGAUCUCGUCUGAUCUUGGAAGCUAAGCGGGGUCGGGCCUGGUUAGUACUUGGAUGGGAGAAGUAACUUAGAAAACAUUCCUUUUUUAUAUC